GUGGAAUAUGAAAGAAGCGAUCUGAUUGGUUGCUAUGGGCAACUCAGCCGCUUUUCCAGGAAGAAAUGUAUGGCUGAUGUUUCAAGAAUAAAGAAUUUCUGUUUGAAUCCACCGGAGAGUUGCCGCUUGUUCCGUCUUCUAAUCGCAUUUAUUGGACAUCUCCUGCUUCCAAGCUGAGCACCACCGGAGGGCCUGCAGCUGUUGCCAGGACUGCAUUGCUCUGCGCCAAGGGUUUAAGGACAACUUUCUAGGACAACCGGGGACAAAUGUGACUGGCUCAUCUAGAAUAUCAAACCCAAAGUGUUCUUACCCUUGACUGCCAAUAUCUCUUUAAAUCUCAUUAAGUUUCUACUGUGACUGUGGGGAGCAUGUGGUUUAAAAUAAAGCUAACAUUUACAUAAAAUAUUCCAUAUUAAUGUUCCAUGUUCCAUUGUUUGUACUUCUUAAAUUGUUUUUUUCAUAUCUUACCAUAUUUUUUAAAAGAGGCGCAAAGACCAACCUCUCUAAGCAUCGGCAAUGAGCUCUGUCUGGUUUUACAAUCCCCCCUGUAAUAUUAUAUCGCUAUAGCAACUGGGGACCCAGUAGCCACUACUUCUGCCUUCUUAGUAAACCUUUUAGGCCCGUUGAGAAAGAUUUCUGAAUAUUUUUUUGCUUGUUAGUGGUCUAUUUUACAUGUUUAUUGAGCAAUAUUGGUUUUGAGUAUUUGUUUUGGGCAUUUUAUUUUUUUUACCUACAAUAUAAGUGAUUUCUGAAGAUUUAUCUUUGUAGUUCACUUUACAUGCAGUGGUCAAUUUAUCAUUCAAUGAUAUUGUUGAAAAAAAAAAAAGCAAACACAGACCACCCUCAGUGGUGCUCUGAAAAACCUGCUUUUAAACUGAGAAAUUGUGUUUUAAAGUCAUGUUGUUAGUUUUGGUGGACAUGCUAAUAAUUUAUCACUCAUCGUGACACAAUAUAAUUUAUGUGCAUGUCCACCAAAAAACCUGCAACAAAAGUGACUCAAAAAUGACAUACCAAACAAUUCACUGAUAAAUAUCCCCCUUUGUAUUUUUCAAAAGUGAACCCAUUAAAAAAAUAUUAUUUAUUCUGCAAAAUUCAAGACCUCAUAUGGCUAUGUAAAAAUAUGGAAAUGAAAAGCAAAAUAAAUAAAUAAAUGCUGCAUCGGUACAGCAAAUGCUGCAAGUACCGAACUAGGCCAUUUUCUUAAGGGGUUAAGAAUAAUUGUCCUCUAAUAUCCAUAAGUCAUGGUCUGUAAAGCACUGGAUUACAUGAACAUUGCACUGAGGCACACAGAUCUCUUAAUAAAAACGUGUCAGUCUCCAUAAGAAUGAAGAGGAGUGAAAGUAAUAUAAUGAGAUGUCCAAGUACCAUUAAAAAUAAUCUUCUCAAAAAGCGUGCACAUAAGGAAAAUAAUAUAGAUGAAAGGAAGUCAUUUAUUAGAUGAUACUGAUGUUUUAAUAUCCAGUAUGGUGUAUUCAUUAAAAUGCCAUCACAGGUAAUGUAUAAAACAUGAAGGAAUAAAAUGUCAUCUUUGCUGAUACCUUCACGUGAAUCAAUUUCUCUAGACGCUUGGCAUUGCUCGUAUGAGUGAAUUAUUUGUUGCAUAUUAAAAAGAAAAACAAGUAGACAUCUGCUCUGUACUAUAAUAAAAUGCUUUAAAUACAGUAUUGCAUUCUAAACAUGUGUGAUGUUUGUGUUUUAUUUUAACAUUAAGCUGCUUUGUGUCACCAUCAUGUGACACAAUUUCCUUAAAGGGGUACUCCGCUGCUCAGCGUUUGGAACAAACUGUUCCGAAUGCUGGAACUGGCACCGGGAGCUCGUGACGUCAUAACCCCCU
This is a long non-coding RNA of Hyla sarda, 1834 nucleotides long. RefSeq lists it as uncharacterized. The record is from RefSeq and is a predicted model, not a curated record. The transcript is spliced from 3 exons. Lineage: Eukaryota; Metazoa; Chordata; Amphibia; Anura; Hylidae.